CCUACGGGGGGCUGCAGUGGGGAAUAUUGGGCAAUGGGCGCAAGCCUGACCCAGCAACGCCGCGUGAAGGAAGAAGGCGUUCGGGUUGUAAACUUCUUUUCUCAGGGACGAAGCAAGUGACGGUACCUGAGGAAUAAGCCACGGCUAACGACGGGCCAGCAGCCGCGGUAAUACGUAGGUGGCAAGCGUUAGCCGGAUUUACUGGGUGUAAAGGGCGGGUAGGCGGGAAAGCAAGUCAGAUGUGAAAACCAUGGGCUCAACCUGUGGCCUGCAUUGGCAACUGUUUUUCUUGAGUACUGGAGAGUCAGCCGGCAUUCCUAGUGUAGCUGUGCAAUGCGUAGAUAUUAGGAGGAACACCAGUGGCGAAGGCGGUCUGCUGGACAGCAACUGACGCUGAGGCGCGAAAGCGUGGGGAGCAAACAGGAUUCGAUACCCGAGUAGUC
RNAcentral lists this ribosomal RNA (443 nucleotides) under uncultured bacterium. RNAcentral's name for it is "partial 16S ribosomal RNA". It matches the Rfam family "Bacterial small subunit ribosomal RNA", at positions 338 to 795 of the family's 1533-position model. The record is from RNAcentral.